GCGGACGGGUGAGUAAUGCCUAGGAAUCUGCCUGGUAGUGGGGGAUAACGCUCGGAAACGGACGCUAAUACCGCAUACGUCCUACGGGAGAAAGCAGGGGACCUUCGGGCCUUGCGCUAUCAGAUGAGCCUAGGUCGGAUUAGCUAGUUGGUGGGGUAAUGGCUCACCAAGGCGACGAUCCGUAACUGGUCUGAGAGGAUGAUCAGUCACACUGGAACUGAGACACGGUCCAGACUCCUACGGGAGGCAGCAGUGGGGAAUAUUGGACAAUGGGCGAAAGCCUGAUCCAGUCUCUAUGCCGCGUGUGUGAAGAAGGUCUUCGGAUUGUAAAGCACUUUAAGUUGGGAGGAAGGGCAUUAACCUAAUACGUUAGUGUUUUGACGUUACCGACAGAAUAAGCACCGGCUAACUCUGUGCCAGCAGCCGCGGUAAUACAGAGGGUGCAAGCGUUAAUCGGAAUUACUGGGCGUAAAGCGCGCGUAGGUGGUUUGUUAAGUUGGAUGUGAAAGCCCCGGGCUCAACCUGGGAACUGCAUUCAAAACUGACAAGCUAGAGUAUGGUAGAGGGUGGUGGAAUUCCUGUGUAGCGGUGAAAUGCGUAGAUAUAGGAAGGAACACCAGUGGCGAAGGCGACACCUGGACUGAUACUGACACUGAGGUGCGAA
This 664-nucleotide ribosomal RNA is filed under the name Pseudomonas sp. 3R27-301. RNAcentral's name for it is "bacterial SSU rRNA". It matches the Rfam family "Bacterial small subunit ribosomal RNA", at positions 98 to 757 of the family's 1533-position model. Lineage: Bacteria; Pseudomonadati; Pseudomonadota; Gammaproteobacteria; Pseudomonadales; Pseudomonadaceae. The record is from RNAcentral.